ACGUGGUUUAAUUCGAUGCAACGCGAAGAACCUUACCUGGGCUUGACAUCCCGGGAAUCCUUGGAAACAAGGGAGUGCCCUUCGGGGAACCUGGAGACAGGUGCUGCAUGGCUGUCGUCAGCUCGUGUCGUGAGAUGUAGGGUUAAGUCCCGCAACGAGCGCAACCCUUGUCUUUAAUUGCCAUCAUUGAGUUGGGCACUUUAAAGAGACUGCCGGUGUUAAACCGGAGGAAGGUGGGGAUGACGUCAAGUCCUCAUGGCCUUUAUGCCCAGGGCUACACACGUGCUACAAUGGGUGGUACAAAGGGUAGCGAUGCCGCGAGGUGAAGCCAAUCCCAAAAAGCCGUCCACAGUUCGGAUCGGAGUCUGCAACUCGACUCCAUGAAGCCGGAAUCGCUAGUAAUCGUGGAUCAGAAUGUCACGGUGAAUACGUUCCCGGGUCUU
RNAcentral lists this ribosomal RNA (443 nucleotides) under uncultured Syntrophus sp. RNAcentral describes it as "bacterial SSU rRNA". It matches the Rfam family "Bacterial small subunit ribosomal RNA", at positions 939 to 1382 of the family's 1533-position model. The record is from RNAcentral. Lineage: Bacteria; Pseudomonadati; Thermodesulfobacteriota; Syntrophia; Syntrophales; Syntrophaceae.